UUGGGAUCCCUCGUGGGGUCACUCCUGGGGUCACAUUUGGGGUGCUGGGGUCACAUUUGGGGUCACUUUUGGGGUCACUUUCAGAGUCCCAUUUUGGGUCACAUUUGGGUUCAUUUUUGGGGUUCUGGGGUCACUUUUGGGGUCACAUUUGGGGUCCCUUUUGAGAUCCUGGGGUCACAUUUGGGGUCACUCCUGGGUCACUUUCAGAGUCCCAUUUUGGGUCCAUUUUUGGGUUCAUUUUUGAGGUUCUGGGGUCACUUUUGGGGUCACUUUUGGAGUCACAUUUGAGGUCACAUUUGGGGUCACUUUUGGGGUCACUUUUGGGUCACUUUCAGAGUCCCAUUUUGGGUCCAUUUUUGGGUUCAUUUUUGAGGUUCUGGGGUCACUUUUGGGGUCACUCUUGGG
Long non-coding RNA from Vidua macroura (Pin-tailed whydah), 405 nucleotides. RefSeq lists it as uncharacterized. The record is from RefSeq and is a predicted model, not a curated record. NCBI's taxonomy places the organism in Eukaryota, Metazoa, Chordata, Aves, Passeriformes, Viduidae. The transcript has 3 exons.